CAGUCGCCGCGGGAAUACGUAGGUGGCGAGCGUUGUCCGGAAUUAUUGGGCGUAAAGGGAGCGCAGGCGGACAUAUAAGUCCAUCUUAAAAGUGCGGGGCUCAACCCCGUGAGGGGAUGGAAACUGUAUGCCUUGAGUGCAGAAGAGGAAAGCGGAAUUCCCAGUGUAGCGGUGAAAUGCGUAGAUAUUGGGAGGAACACCAGUGGCGAAGGCGGCUUUCUGGACUGUAACUGACGCUGAGGCUCGAAAGCCAGGGGAGCGAACGGGAUUAGAUACCCCAGUAGUCCCUGUCUCUUAUACA
This 301-nucleotide ribosomal RNA is filed under the name uncultured bacterium. RNAcentral's name for it is "partial 16S ribosomal RNA". It matches the Rfam family "Bacterial small subunit ribosomal RNA", at positions 509 to 809 of the family's 1533-position model. The record is from RNAcentral.